This 465-nucleotide ribosomal RNA is filed under the name uncultured bacterium. RNAcentral describes it as "partial 16S ribosomal RNA". It matches the Rfam family "Bacterial small subunit ribosomal RNA", at positions 28 to 507 of the family's 1533-position model. The record is from RNAcentral.
GACGAACGCUGGCGGCGUGCUUAACACAUGCAAGUCGAACGGAAAGGCCCUGCUUGCAGGGUACUCGAGUGGCGAACGGGUGAGUAACACGUGGGUGAUCUGCCCUGCGCUUCGGGAUAAGCUUGGGAAACUGGGUCUAAUACCGGAUAGGAACCAUCUUUAGUGUGGUGGUUGGAAAGUUUUUUCGGUGUAGGAUGAGCUCGCGGCCUAUCAGCUUGUUGGUGGGGUAAUGGCCUACCAAGGCGGCGACGGGUAGCCGGCCUGAGAGGGUGUACGGCCACAUUGGGACUGAGAGACGGCCCAGACGCCUACGGGAGGCAGCAGUGGGGAAUAUUGCACAAUGGGCGCAAGCCUGAUGCAGCGACGCCGCGUGGGGGAUGAAGGCCUUCGGGUUGUAAACUCCUUUCGCUAGGGACGAAGCUUUUUGUGACGGUACCUAGAUAAGAAGCACCGGCUAACUACGUG